ACGGCAGCACGGGAGCAAUCCUGGUGGCGAGUGGCGAACGGGUGAGUAAUAUAUCGGAACGUGCCCAGUCGUGGGGGAUAACGCAGCGAAAGCUGUGCUAAUACCGCAUACGAUCUCUGGAUGAAAGCGGGGGAUUCGCAAGGACCUCGCGCGAUUGGAGUGGCCGAUAUCGGAUUAGCUAGUUGGUGGGGUAAAAGCCUACCAAGGCGACGAUCUGUAGCUGGUCUGAGAGGACGACCAGCCACACUGGAACUGAGACACGGUCCAGACUCCUACGGGAGGUAGCAGUGGGGAAUUUUGGACAAUGGGCGCAAGCCUGAUCCAGCAAUGCCGCGUGCAGGAUGAAGGCCUUCGGGUUGUAAACUGCUUUUGUACGGAACGAAACGGUUUUUUCUAAUACAAGAGACUAAUGACGGUACCGUAAGAAUAAGCACCGGCUAACUACGUGCCAGCAGCCGCGGUAAUACGUAGGGUGCGAGCGUUAAUCGGAAUUACUGGGCGUAAAGCGUGCGCAGGCGGUUUUGUAAGACAGAUGUGAAAUCCCCGGGCUCAACCUGGGACCUGCAUAUGUGACUGCAAAGCUAGAGUGCGGCAGAGGGGAUGGAAUUCCGCGUGUAGCAGUGAAAUGCGUAGAUAUGCGGAGGAACACCGAUGGCGAAAGGCAAUCCCCUGGGCCUGCACUGACGCUCAUGCACGAAAGCGUGGGGAGCAAACAGGAUUAGAUACCCUGGUAGUCCACGCCCUAAACGAUGUCAACUGCUUGUUGGGUCUUUACUGACUCAGUAACGAAGCUAACGCGUGAAGUUGACCGCCCUGGGGAGUACGGCCGCAAGGUGAAACUCAAAAGGAAUUGGACGGGGACCCGCACA
This 869-nucleotide ribosomal RNA is filed under the name uncultured bacterium. RNAcentral describes it as "bacterial SSU rRNA". It matches the Rfam family "Bacterial small subunit ribosomal RNA", at positions 66 to 927 of the family's 1533-position model. The record is from RNAcentral.